UACAGGGGGUGCAAACGUUGCUCGGAAUUAUUGGGCGUAAAGCGCGCGUAGGCGGCCUUUUAAGUCGGAUGUGAAAGCCCUCGGCUCAACUGGGGAAGUGCACCCGAAACUGAAAGGCUUGAGUACUGAAGAGGGUCGCGGAAUUCCCAGUGUAGAGGUGAAAUUCGUAGAUAUGGGGAGGAACACCGGUGGCGAAGGCGGCCAUCUGGACGGAUACUGACGCUGAGACGCGAAAGCGUGGGGAGCAAACAGG
Molecule: ribosomal RNA, 253 nt
Filed under: uncultured bacterium
Lineage: Bacteria
Description: partial 16S ribosomal RNA
Rfam family: Bacterial small subunit ribosomal RNA
Source: RNAcentral